GAAUUUACAAGCUUUCCAACAAGACUGAAGAAAUCCAGGAAACCACAAUGACAGAUCCACUUGAAACAACCAUUUCAUGUCCUUUGCUGUCCUUUGAGCAUGGCCCAGACCUCUGAGAAUACUGGGAGGAAAAAGAAUAAUUCCAAUGAGUAUUUCAGAGAUUCUGCUGUCAGAUGCUUUUCUGCUUUCACACAGGCUCAAUCCUGACAUGACUGACUUCAGUAAAGUCACUUUAGGAGCAGCACUACUGGGAAGCAGCAGGAAUCCUCCUGCAAGAGAUGAGGAUUCACGUCAGGAUGAUACUGCUGAGGAUUCACAGUACAUCAACACAGGUAACACUGUCCUUUUUUUUAAAUUAUAUGGUGCCUGUGGAUCAGGCUUCAAAGGUGACCAUCAGCUCUCAUUUCUAGGUGCCCUGACUCGAGUCUGAAUCUCCUCACUGGCUGGAGUUGGCUUCUCACUCCUUUACUUCACUCUCAUUUUCUGUGUCCUACACAUUGUCUACUCCACUUUGGAACAGGGAUUUGCAUCACAGUUUCCCAGGUGCCAGAGAG
Molecule: long non-coding RNA, 554 nt
Filed under: Junco hyemalis (dark-eyed junco)
Lineage: Eukaryota; Metazoa; Chordata; Aves; Passeriformes; Passerellidae
Description: lncRNA (ENSJHYG00000015363.1)
Source: RNAcentral